RNAcentral lists this transfer RNA (70 nucleotides) under Desmophyllum pertusum. RNAcentral describes it as "Lophelia pertusa tRNA". It matches the Rfam family "tRNA". From Rfam's summary of the family: Transfer RNA (tRNA) molecules are approximately 80 nucleotides in length. Their secondary structure includes four short double-helical elements and three loops (D, anti-codon, and T loops). Further hydrogen bonds mediate the characteristic L-shaped molecular structure. tRNAs have two regions of fundamental functional importance: the anti-codon, which is responsible for specific mRNA codon recognition, and the 3' end, to which the tRNAs corresponding amino acid is attached (by aminoacyl-tRNA synthetases). tRNAs cope with the degeneracy of the genetic code in two manners: having more than one tRNA (with a specific anti-codon) for a particular amino acid; and 'wobble' base-pairing, i.e. permitting non-standard base-pairing at the 3rd anti-codon position. Lineage: Eukaryota; Metazoa; Cnidaria; Anthozoa; Scleractinia; Caryophylliidae. The record is from Rfam by way of RNAcentral.
UCUCCUGUAGCUCAAUGGUAGAGCGUCCGACCGGUGUGAGGAAGGUCAUAGGUUCGACUCCUGUUGAGAA